UACGUAGGAUGCAAGCGUUGUCCGGAAUUAUUGGGCGUAAAGAGCGCGCAGGCGGUCUAUCAAGUCAGAUGUGAAAUAUCCGGGCUUAACCCGGAGGGGUCAUUUGAAACUGGUAGACUAGAGUACAGCAGAGGAUAGCGGAAUUCCCGGUGUAGUGGUGAAAUGCGUAGAUAUCGGGAGGAACACCAGUGGCGAAGGCGGCUAUCUGGGCUGAAACUGACGCUGAGGCGCGACAGCGUGGGGAGCAAACAGG
Molecule: ribosomal RNA, 253 nt
Filed under: uncultured bacterium
Lineage: Bacteria
Description: partial 16S ribosomal RNA
Rfam family: Bacterial small subunit ribosomal RNA
Source: RNAcentral